This 299-nucleotide signal recognition particle RNA is filed under the name Cavia aperea (Brazilian guinea pig). RNAcentral describes it as "Metazoan signal recognition particle RNA (ENSCAPG00000001568.1)". It matches the Rfam family "Metazoan signal recognition particle RNA". From Rfam's summary of the family: The signal recognition particle (SRP) is a universally conserved ribonucleoprotein. It is involved in the co-translational targeting of proteins to membranes. Lineage: Eukaryota; Metazoa; Chordata; Mammalia; Rodentia; Caviidae. The record is from RNAcentral.
GCUGGGCGUGGUGGCGCGCGCCUAUAGUCCCAGCUACUCAAGAGGCUGAGGUGGGAGGAUCGCUUGAGUCCAGGAGUUCUGGGCUGCAGUGCACUAUGCCGAUCGGGUGUCCGCACUAAGUUCGGCAUCAAUAUGGUGACCUCCCUGGGGCAGGGGACCACCAUGUUGCCUAAGGAGGGGUGAACCGGCCCAGAUCGGAAACGGAGCAGGUCAAAACUUCCGUGCUGAUCAGUAGUGGGAUCACAUCUGUGAAUAGCCACUGCACUCCAACCUGGGCAAUAUAGUGAGACCCUGUCUCU